GAUGAACGCUGGCGGCGUGCUUAACACAUGCAAGUCGAACGAUGAUCCCGUGCUUGCACGGGUGAUUAGUGGCGAACGGGUGAGUAACACGUGAGUAACCUGCCCCUGACUUCGGGAUAAGCCUGGGAAACUGGGUCUAAUACCGGAUAUGCACCGUGGACCGCAUGGUCCUUGGUGGAAAGACUUGUUGGUCAGGGAUGGACUCGCGGCCUAUCAGCUUGUUGGUGAGGUAAUGGCUCACCAAGGCGACGACGGGUAGCCGGCCUGAGAGGGUGACCGGCCACACUGAGACUGAGACACGGCCCAGACUCCUACGGGAGGCAGCAGUGGGGAAUAUUGCACAAUGGGCGAAAGCCUGAUGCAGCGACGCCGCGUGAGGGAUGACGGCCUUCGGGUUGUAAACCUCUUUCAGUAGGGAAGAAGCGAAAGUGACGGUACCUGCAGAAGAAGCGCCGGCUAACUACGUGCCAGCAGCCGCGGUAAUACGUAGGGCGCAAGCGUUAUCCGGAAUUAUUGGGCGUAAAGAGCUCGUAGGCGGUUUGUCGCGUCUAUCGUGAAAGUCCGAGGCUCAACCUCGGAUCUGCGGUGGGUACGGGCAGACUAGAGUGAUGUAGGGGAGACUGGAAUUCCUGGUGUAGCGGUGAAAUGCGCAGAUAUCAGGAGGAACACCGAUGGCGAAGGCAGGUCUCUGGGCAUUAACUGACGCUGAGGAGCG
Molecule: ribosomal RNA, 715 nt
Filed under: uncultured Actinomycetes bacterium
Lineage: Bacteria; Bacillati; Actinomycetota; Actinomycetes
Description: bacterial SSU rRNA
Rfam family: Bacterial small subunit ribosomal RNA
Source: RNAcentral